AAAGGCUCUAAAGUCCAUUUAAUAUGCAGUACAGUUUCAUCAAAAUUAUUACGAUCAAUAGCUAAAGUUGAAAGGAUCCAGUUUUCAGAAACUCUCACUGGGUUCAAGUGGAUGGGUAACUUAAGCCACACCCUCCUUGAGAAAGGAGAGGAGGUUGUCUUUGCUUUUGAAGAAGCAAUAGGAUUCAUGUUUGGUACUACAGUACUGGAUAAAGAUGGAGUGAGUGACUGGAGAAAUGGCCGCCUACCUUUACUCUAAUGGAGAGACAUUCUCUUCACUGUUGGAAGACAUUUAUUUAAAAUAUGGUCGAGUUGUCUCAAGCAAUUCUUAUUUCAUAUGUCACUCAAAAGAAACGAUAAAAGAAGUCUUUGAUGGACUGAGAAAAGAUGGA
Molecule: long non-coding RNA, 391 nt
Organism: Amphimedon queenslandica
Lineage: Eukaryota; Metazoa; Porifera; Demospongiae; Haplosclerida; Niphatidae
Exons: 2
Source: RefSeq, a predicted model, not a curated record